UUUUUGAAAAUGUGAAAGUUA
RNAcentral lists this non-coding RNA (21 nucleotides) under Caenorhabditis elegans. Lineage: Eukaryota; Metazoa; Nematoda; Chromadorea; Rhabditida; Rhabditidae. The record is from RNAcentral.